GCGGCGUGCCUAAUACAUGCAAGUCGAAGCGAACAGAUAAGGAAGCUUGCUCCUUUGACGUUAGCGGCGGACGGGUGAGUAACACGUGGAUAACCUACCUAUAAGACUGGGAUAACUUCGGGAAACCGGAGCUAAUACCGGAUAACAUAUUGAACCGCAUGGUUCAAUAGUGAAAGGCGGCUUUGCUGUCACUUAUAGAUGGAUCCGCGCCGUAUUAGCUAGUUGGUAAGGUAACGGCUUACCAAGGCAACGAUACGUAGCCGACCUGAGAGGGUGAUCGGCCACACUGGAACUGAGACACGGUCCAGACUCCUACGGGAGGCAGCAGUAGGGAAUCUUCCGCAAUGGGCGAAAGCCUGACGGAGCAACGCCGCGUGAGUGAUGAAGGUCUUCGGAUCGUAAAACUCUGUUAUCAGGGAAGAACAAAUGUGUAAGUAACUGUGCACAUCUUGACGGUACCUGAUCAGAAAGCCACGGCUAACUACGUGCCAGCAGCCGCGGUAAUACGUAGGUGGCAAGCGUUAUCCGGAAUUAUUGGGCGUAAAGCGCGCGUAGGCGGUUUUUUAAGUCUGAUGUGAAAGCCCACGGCUCAACCGUGGAGGGUCAUUGGAAACUGGAAAACUUGAGUGCAGAAGAGGAAAGUGGAAUUCCAUGUGUAGCGGUGAAAUGCGCAGAGAUAUGGAGGAACACCAGUGGCGAAGGCGACUUUCUGGUCUGUAACUGACGCUGAUGUGCG
This 736-nucleotide ribosomal RNA is filed under the name Staphylococcus pasteuri. RNAcentral's name for it is "bacterial SSU rRNA". It matches the Rfam family "Bacterial small subunit ribosomal RNA", at positions 39 to 755 of the family's 1533-position model. The record is from RNAcentral. Lineage: Bacteria; Bacillati; Bacillota; Bacilli; Caryophanales; Staphylococcaceae.